Monodelphis domestica (gray short-tailed opossum) is the source of this 405-nucleotide non-coding RNA. The record is from the annotation of a RefSeq genome assembly. NCBI's taxonomy places the organism in Eukaryota, Metazoa, Chordata, Mammalia, Didelphimorphia, Didelphidae.
AUGGACUCAGACUCAGCUGAGAGGCUGACCAAAGCCCCUGGUGAAUACCUAGUGAGGGGUUGUCCAAGCAUCUACCAAGGAAGCAGGGAUGUGGUGACUCAGCCUCCCUCUGUGUCUGCAGCCCUGGGGAGCUCGGCCAGACUCUCCUGCACCCUGAGCAGUCAGCACAGCAGCUACAAUAUUGGUUGGUACCAGCAGAGCCCAGGAAAGGCCCCUCGGUACCUCAUGUGGGUUUACAGUGGUGGAGGUACCAGCAGGGGCGACGGGAUCCCUGAGCGCUUCUCUGGCUCCAGCUCUGGGGCUGAUCGAUUCCUGUCCAUCAGCAACGUCCAGGCUGAGGAUGAAGCUGAUUAUAUCUGUGGUUAUGGUUAUAGCAGUGGUGGUAGUUAUCGUUACCCACAGUGA